GAUUAACGCUGGCGGCGUGCAUAACACAUGCAAGUCGAACGAUGAAACUUAAAUGAUUUCUUCGGAAUGAACUUAAGUGGAUUAGUGGCGGACGGGUGAGUAACGCGUGAGUAACCUGCCGUACACAAGGGGAUAGCCGUUGGAAACGACGAAUAAUACCCUAUGAUGUUUCUAUCUCGCAUGAGAUAUUAACCAAAGUGUUAGCGGUGUAAGAUGGACUUGCGUCUGAUUAGCUAGUUGGUGAGAAAAAAGCCCACCAAGGCAACGAUCAGUAGCCGGCUUGAGAGAGUGUACGGCCACAUUGGGACUGAGACACGGCCCAGACUCCUACGGGAGGCAGCAGUGGGGAAUUUUGCACAAUGGGGGAAACCCUGAUGCAGCGACGCCGCGUGAUUUAGAAGGCCUUCGGGUUGUAAAAAUCUUUUGUAUAGGAAGAAAAUGACAGUACUAUACGAAUAAGGUCCGGCUAAUUACGUG
Molecule: ribosomal RNA, 477 nt
Filed under: uncultured bacterium
Lineage: Bacteria
Description: partial 16S ribosomal RNA
Rfam family: Bacterial small subunit ribosomal RNA
Source: RNAcentral